UCNCGUCAUGCUGGAAAGGCCUUAAAGA
Molecule: non-coding RNA, 28 nt
Filed under: Mus musculus (house mouse)
Lineage: Eukaryota; Metazoa; Chordata; Mammalia; Rodentia; Muridae
Source: RNAcentral